GUUCAUGUAGCUUAUAAUACAAAGCAAGGCACUGAAAAUGCCUAGAUGAGUUUCUAAACUCCAUAAACA
RNAcentral lists this transfer RNA (69 nucleotides) under Ochotona nigritia (black pika). RNAcentral describes it as "tRNA-Phe". It matches the Rfam family "tRNA". Rfam says of the family: Transfer RNA (tRNA) molecules are approximately 80 nucleotides in length. Their secondary structure includes four short double-helical elements and three loops (D, anti-codon, and T loops). The record is from RNAcentral. Lineage: Eukaryota; Metazoa; Chordata; Mammalia; Lagomorpha; Ochotonidae. RNAcentral also lists the same sequence under 1 other name.